Molecule: ribosomal RNA, 484 nt
Filed under: uncultured bacterium
Lineage: Bacteria
Description: partial 16S ribosomal RNA
Rfam family: Bacterial small subunit ribosomal RNA
Source: RNAcentral
AUUGAACGCUGGCGGCAGGCCUAACACAUGCAAGUCGAGCGGAUGAAGGGAGCUUGCUCCUGGAUUCAGCGGCGGACGGGUGAGUAAUGCCUAGGAAUCUGCCUGGUAGUGGGGGAUAACGUCCGGAAACGGGCGCUAAUACCGCAUACGUCCUGAGGGAGAAAGUGGGGGAUCUUCGGACCUCACGCUAUCAGAUGAGCCUAGGUCGGAUUAGCUAGUUGGUGGGGUAAAGGCCUACCAAGGCGACGAUCUGUAACUGGUCUGAGAGGAUGAUCAGUCACACUGGAACCGAGACACGGUCCAGACUCCUACGGGAGGCAGCAGUGGGGAAUAUUGGACAAUGGGCGAAAGCCUGAUCCAGCCAUGCCGCGUGUGUGAAGAAGGUCUUCGGAUUGUAAAGCACUUUAAGUUGGGAGGAAGGGCAGUAAGUUAAUACCUUGCUGUUUUGACGUUACCAACAGAAUAAGCACCGGCUAACUUCGUG